Non-coding RNA from Nematostella vectensis (starlet sea anemone), 64 nucleotides. Lineage: Eukaryota; Metazoa; Cnidaria; Anthozoa; Actiniaria; Edwardsiidae. The record is from Rfam.
GGCUCAGUGUUUUGAUUCUCGCUUUGGGUGCGAGAGGCCACGGGUUCGAUUCCCGUCCGAGCCC